ACAUNGCAAGUCGAGCGAAUCGANGGGAGCUUGCUCCCUGAGAUUAGCGGCGGACGGGUGAGUAACACGUGGGCAACCUGCCUAUAAGACUGGGAUAACUUCGGGAAACCGGAGCUAAUACCGGAUACGUUCUUUUCUCGCAUGAGAGAAGAUGGAAAGACGGUUUACGCUGUCACUUAUAGAUGGGCCCGCGGCGCAUUAGCUAGUUGGUGAGGUAAUGGCUCACCAAGGCGACGAUGCGUAGCCGACCUGAGAGGGUGAUCGGCCACACUGGGACUGAGACACGGCCCAGACUCCUACGGGAGGCAGCAGUAGGGAAUCUUCCGCAAUGGACGAAAGUCUGACGGAGCAACGCCGCGUGAACGAAGAAGGCCUUCGGGUCGUAAAGUUCUGUUGUUAGGGAAGAACAAGUACCAGAGUAACUGCUGGUACCUUGACGGUACCUAACCAGAAAGCCACGGCUAACUACGUGCCAGCAGCCGCGGUAAUACGUAGGUGGCAAGCGUUGUCCGGAAUUAUUGGGCGUAAAGCGCGCGCAGGUGGUUCCUUAAGUCUGAUGUGAAAGCCCACGGCUCAACCGUGGAGGGUCAUUGGAAACUGGGGAACUUGAGUGCAGAAGAGGAAAGUGGAAUUCCAAGUGUAGCGGUGAAAUGCGUAGAGAUUUGGAGGAACACCAGUGGCGAAGGCGACUUUCUGGUCUGUAACUGACACUGAGGCGCGAAAGCGUGGGGAGCAAACAGGAUUAGAUACCCCUGGUAGUCCACGCCGUAAACGAUGAGUGCU
This 783-nucleotide ribosomal RNA is filed under the name Bacillus sp. LKS-124. Its description in RNAcentral is "bacterial SSU rRNA". It matches the Rfam family "Bacterial small subunit ribosomal RNA", at positions 53 to 817 of the family's 1533-position model. Lineage: Bacteria; Bacillati; Bacillota; Bacilli; Caryophanales; Bacillaceae. The record is from RNAcentral.